GUCUAUGGUCAUUCCACCUUGAAUGUACCUGACCUUGUCUGUCCAUAAAAGCUAAGCAGUUGGGUCCAGGUAGUACUUGGAUGAGAGAUAUCAGAGUACAUUGGAAUGUUUCAGGGA
This 117-nucleotide ribosomal RNA is filed under the name Carlito syrichta (Philippine tarsier). The record is from RNAcentral. Lineage: Eukaryota; Metazoa; Chordata; Mammalia; Primates; Tarsiidae.